This 512-nucleotide ribosomal RNA is filed under the name uncultured bacterium. Its description in RNAcentral is "partial 16S ribosomal RNA". It matches the Rfam family "Bacterial small subunit ribosomal RNA", at positions 28 to 523 of the family's 1533-position model. The record is from RNAcentral.
GAUGAACGCUGGCGGCGUGCCUAAUACAUGCAAGUCGAGCGAACAGACGAGGAGCUUGCUCCUUUGACGUUAGCGGCGGACGGGUGAGUAACACGUGGGUAACCUACCUAUAAGACUGGGAUAACUUCGGGAAACCGGAGCUAAUACCGGAUAAUAUUUCGAACCGCAUGGUUCGAUAGUGAAAGAUGGCUCAGCUAUCCCUUAUAGAUGGACCUGCGCCGUAUUAGCUAGUUGGUAAGGUAACGGCUACCAAGGCAACGAUACGUAGCCGACCUGAGAGGGUGAUCGGCCACACUGGAACUGAGACACGGUCCAGACUCCUACGGGAGGCAGCAGUAGGGAAUCUUCCGCAAUGGGCGAAAGCCUGACGGAGCAACGCCGCGUGAGUGAUGAAGGUCUUCGGAUCGUAAAACUCUGUUAUUAGGGAAGAACAAACGUGUAAGUAACUGUGCACGUCUUGACGGUACCUAAUCAGAAAGCCACGGCUAACUACGUGCCAGCCGCCGCGGUAA